This 284-nucleotide ribosomal RNA is filed under the name uncultured archaeon. RNAcentral describes it as "partial 16S ribosomal RNA". It matches the Rfam family "Archaeal small subunit ribosomal RNA", at positions 717 to 982 of the family's 1478-position model. The record is from RNAcentral.
AGACGUCUACAUUAGAUACCCGCGUAGUCCCAGCCGUAAACUAUGCUCGCUAGGUGUCAGGCAUGGCGCGUUAGGUGUCCUGGUGACCACGAGUCACCUGGGUGCCGAAGGGAAACCGUGAAACGUGCCGCCUGGGAAGUACGGUCGCAAGGCUGAAACUUAAAGGAAUUGCGGGGAGCACCACAACGGGUGGAGCCUGCGGUUUAAUUGGACUCAACGCCGGAAAUCUCACCGGAUAGGACAGACAUAUGAUAGUCGGGCUGAAGACUCUACUUGAUGAUCUG